UGUUACUCCAAAAGGAAUACGCCUGAAC
Molecule: non-coding RNA, 28 nt
Filed under: Bombyx mori (domestic silkworm)
Lineage: Eukaryota; Metazoa; Arthropoda; Insecta; Lepidoptera; Bombycidae
Source: RNAcentral